AGAGAAGCAGUUUUGACAAUAUGCAGUUAUCACGUCACACACUUUGAACCACUGUUCGUUGACAAGGUUUGUGUUUUGCUAGGAGUCAACUUCCAGGUAACUUAAGGAUCAUGUUUGAAAAUCUUUUCCAGUUCUUGUUCUCCCUGCUUGGGGCCAUUUUUGGUCUGCUGGUCCUGCAUCUAAUUUAUUCCAGCUUUAGCUCCCAAAACAAGAGAAGGGAACCUCCUGGACCUAAACCUCUCCCACUGCUUGGUAACUUGCUUCAGGUGGAUCUCAAGAGACUCGACAGGUCUCUUUUUGAUCUGUCCAAAAAAUAUGGACCAGUGUUUACAGUCUACUUAGGACUUAAGAAGGUGGUAGUGCUAGCAGGAUACAGGACAAUCAAACAGGCCCUGGUCAACCAUGCUGAAGAGUUUGGAGACAGGGAGGUCACUCCCAUAUUCUAUGAUUUCAACAAAGAACAUGGCAUAUUGUUUUCCAAUGGCGACUCAUGGAAAGAAAUGAGGCGUUUUGCUCUCACUACACUGAGAGAUUUUGGGAUGGGCAAAAGGCUUAGUGAAAGGAAAAUCCUUGAGGAAUGUCACUACUUGACUGAAGAAUUUGAGCAGUAUGAAGGUAAAGCCUUCGACAACACCCAGGCAAUUUGUUAUGCGUCUUCAAAUAUUAUAUCAGCAAUCAUGUUUGGAAAGAGGUUUGAAUACAAAGACCCUGUUUUCCAAGCUAUGGUGGAAAAAGACCACGAAUCCAUCCGGCUGACAGGAUCAGCUUCCAUCCUGAUAUACAACAUGUUUCCUUGGCUUGGCCCUUUUCUUAAGAACUGGAGAGAUUUGAUGAAGAAUGUGGAGGAAAACAAAGAGAAAAUGAAAAGCAUCAUAGCGGAUCUGAAGGAGACUCUGAACCCUGAAGUAUGCAGAUGCUUUGUUGACACAUUCCUGACCCGUAAGCUAAAUCUGGAGGAAUCUGAACUCAAAGAUUCACACUUUCAUGAUGACAACCUGGUCCACAGUGUGCUAAAUCUGUUUGCAGCAGGAACUGAUACCACUGGAAAUACACUCCAGUGGUGCCUACUUUUUAUGGCCAAGUACCCUCGUGUUCAAGACCAGGUUCAGGAGGAGCUGAGCAGGGUGGUUGGAAGGCGUCAGGUCCGCGUAGAGGACAGGAAGUACCUGCCCUACACUGAUGCUGUCAUCCACGAGUCGCAAAGACUGGCCAACAUUGUCCCCAUGGCAAUUCCUCACAAAACCAGCCAAGAUGUCAACUACAAGGGCUACUUUAUCCAACAGGGGACUACUGUUUUUCCUCUUCUUACUUCCGUCCUUUAUGAUGAAAGCGAAUGGGAGAGCCCAAACACUUUCAACCCCUCUCACUUCCUGGAUAAGGAGGGUAAAUUUAUCAGAAGAGAUGCCUUCAUGCCCUUUUCUGCAGGUCGCAGGGCGUGUCUCGGAGAGAGUCUGGCCAGAAUGGAGAUCUUUCUUUUCUUCACCUCUCUCCUUCAGCGCUUUCGUUUUACUCCUCCACCUGGAGUCACAGAGGAUGAACUGGAUCUCACACCCGUUGUGGGCUUCAUUCUCACCCCUUCACAUCAUGAGCUGUGUGCCGUCAGUCGCCACUGAUGAAGAGUGCUGGAACUUCUUUUGUUGUUUUGCAGGCUGUCUGUAUCUUACAGUGCACGUAACAGUUUCAGCUCCCAAGACGAGAAGGGAGCCUCUGGGGUGUACAUCUCUCUCCCUGCUUGGUAAAUUCCUUCAGUGGGUCACAGUUGAUGUUAACUACAUGUCUUUGCACUGUGGGAGGAAGCUGAAAGAAGCCCCUGGAAGAAACUCACACAGACACAGAGAUGCAAAACUACAAACUCUGCAGCCUGCUGGCAAGUUCAAACCCAGAACCUUACCAUCUCUGAGUACCCCAGUAUAACCACUCUGCUGAGCACUGCUGGGAUCUUCCUCGCCUUGUAUGUAUUUUUCUCUGGCUUUGACCGUCAAAGAAAGGAGCCUCCGGGUCCCAGGCCACUGCCACUGUUUGGCAGUUUGCUGCAGCUGGAUACAAAGGCGCCCCACAAAACUCUACAUGAGGAAUUAUAUUUGCCAAUGGAUCCUCAUGGAAAGAAAUGAGAAAUUUUGCACUGACUAGCAUGAAAGAUUUUGGAAUGGGCAAACAAGCAUGUGGAGAGAAAAUCAUAGAGGAGAGU
RNA transcript from Scatophagus argus, 2188 nucleotides. It is a transcript of the gene named cytochrome P450 2K1-like, with no coding region annotated. The transcript has 13 exons. NCBI's taxonomy places the organism in Eukaryota, Metazoa, Chordata, Actinopteri, Scatophagidae. The record is from RefSeq and is a predicted model, not a curated record.